UCUUCAGUAGCUCAGAGGUAGAGCAAAUGGCUGUUAACCAUUUGGACGUUGGUUCAAACCCAGCCUGGAGAG
RNAcentral lists this transfer RNA (72 nucleotides) under Didymosphenia geminata (rock snot). Its description in RNAcentral is "tRNA-Asn". It matches the Rfam family "tRNA". From Rfam's summary of the family: Transfer RNA (tRNA) molecules are approximately 80 nucleotides in length. Their secondary structure includes four short double-helical elements and three loops (D, anti-codon, and T loops). Lineage: Eukaryota; Bacillariophyta; Bacillariophyceae; Cymbellales; Cymbellaceae. The record is from RNAcentral.